ACAGAACAAAGCAAAGACUGAUAGUAUUUAUUGGUUAAAAAAAAAAAAUGUUCUGUAUACAUUCUGAAUCAAGUUAAAUUACCUUCUUGCAGGGAAAGCUUCUGAGAGUCUCUGGCCACAGUUUACUUCUACAAACAGUAAGAAAAAGAAAAGGCUACGGACAGGUAUUCCAAUUACAAAUGCAACAGUAACAUUUGACGAUUCUCAGAACAACAAAGACAUUUUCAGAUCAAGGGCACUGUAGCUGCCAUUCUGACAGGAAGGCAAACAACAACAUCCUUUCAGUCAUCCAGUCUGUAGGCAGCUGAUUCAGAAUGAAUUUAGGGCAGAUGAGUAAGAAAUGAAUGAGAAGAAAAUUUAGCAGUGAUGCUUCAUUCAGCCAGCAGAAUGCUCUUCUAAAUACUUGUGCUCUCCAUUCCUUAGUGAUGGUCCUGAAGUGCUCCUGGCUUGUACAGAGCAAUGUUGCUAUUCCAAAGAGCAGAUAAUGAUAGUAAUGAACUCACAAAUAAAAAUGUUAAAAUUCACAGAUGCCUGUGGCCAGAAAGAAACUACAGGAGUGGAGGAACAAUCUGUGAAGAAGGAAUUAUUCACAAUAAGUUAUUAAGUUAUGGCAGGAAUAUCAGUUGAUUAAACAGUAUGAUAGCAUUUUCCUUGCAACAGUUUUUGACUUCUUUAAGGUGUGUUUCUUUCAUAAAAUCUACCAGGGAUUUGCCUGUAUAGAGUAGCUUUCAGGAUGUGCUUUUGCUUGAGCGUGGGGUUUUGCUCAACACUAUUUCUUGGUUGUACCAGUGAAUUCUGCAAAUCUGGAGCCAGUCUCCAGUGUGCUUUGUGUGGAUAGACUAUACUGUGUGAAGGCCUCA
Non-coding RNA from Meleagris gallopavo (turkey), 860 nucleotides. NCBI's taxonomy places the organism in Eukaryota, Metazoa, Chordata, Aves, Galliformes, Phasianidae. The record is from RefSeq and is a predicted model, not a curated record.